AACUUAAUGUCAUAUUAAAUAAGUUAUACAUUAUUAAGUGUUUUGAGAAGUGGUAUUUUAAUCUAUGUUCUGUGAAUGACAAGUGUUAUCUGUCAAGUGUCAAAAAACUUGAGAAACUUUUAAGAAGUUUGAAUUUGUAAAAUUUGUUUGUAAACACAAUGCCAAAGGCAAGAAUAAUUUCCCACGCCAGGUGGAGACCCUGCUAAAUAAUGCAGUAACAGCGCGUGGUCGUGUGAUGAGGGUGCCUUGGCCAGUUAGCGCCUCGAUGAGCUCUGGCGCAACACGGCCCGGAUACUAAACAGCAUGGGGGUGGGACGACUUAGGAGGCACAAGCUUGGAAAACGCUCUCAUCUUGUUCUACAGCAGCGCCUGCACCUGUCCCACCAUCUACCAGUGUUGGAACUCUUCCAAGUGCAUGAGAGUUUAAAACAAUAUAUUUUAUUGCAUAAUUAUUUGUUUGUAAAAACGAUAAGUACAAAUGAGUAGGGAGGCUGUUGAUUUUUUCAUGGUUAUUUUAAUAUAUUAUAUUGUUAAUUGUUCGAAUGCUGUGAUUAUAUUAAAAUUAUAUUUUAAAUAAAAACUUAGUUUGUAAAGAGAUGAAGG
Long non-coding RNA from Ostrinia nubilalis (European corn borer), 603 nucleotides. RefSeq lists it as uncharacterized. The transcript is spliced from 3 exons. The record is from RefSeq and is a predicted model, not a curated record. Lineage: Eukaryota; Metazoa; Arthropoda; Insecta; Lepidoptera; Crambidae.